AACGAACGCUGGCGGCAUGCCCAACACAUGCAAGUCGACCGAGAUCUUCGGGUCUAGUGGCGCACGGGUGCGUAACGCGUGGGAAUCUGCCCUUUGGUUCGGAAUAACAGUUGGGAACGACUGCUAAUACCGGAUGAUGACGAAAGUCCAAAGAUUUAUCGCCAGAGGAUGAGCCCGCGUAGGAUUAGCUAGUUGGUGUGGUAAAGGCGCACCAAGGCGACGAUCCUUAGCUGGUCUGAGAGGAUGAUCAGCCACACUGGGACUGAGACACGGCCCAGACUCCUACGGGAGGCAGCAGUGGGGAAUAUUGGACAAUGGGCGAAAGCCUGAUCCAGCAAUGCCGCGUGAGGGAUGAAGGCCUUAGGGUUGUAAAGCUCUUUUACCCGGGAUGAUAAUGACAGUACCGGGAGAAUAAGCUCCGGCUAACUCCGUGCCAGCCGCCGCCGUAA
Molecule: ribosomal RNA, 449 nt
Filed under: uncultured bacterium
Lineage: Bacteria
Description: partial 16S ribosomal RNA
Rfam family: Bacterial small subunit ribosomal RNA
Source: RNAcentral